RNAcentral lists this ribosomal RNA (470 nucleotides) under uncultured bacterium. Its description in RNAcentral is "partial 16S ribosomal RNA". It matches the Rfam family "Bacterial small subunit ribosomal RNA", at positions 28 to 507 of the family's 1533-position model. The record is from RNAcentral.
GACGAACGCUGGCGGCGUGCUUAACACAUGCAAGUCGAACGCUGAAGCACCAGCUUGCUGGUGUGGAUGAGUGGCGAACGGGUGAGUAAUACGUGAGUAACCUGCCCUUGACUCUGGGAUAAGCCCGGGAAACUGGGUCUAAUACUGGAUGCUACAUGUCACCGCAUGGUGGUGUGUGGAAAGGUUUUACUGGUCUUGGAUGGGCUCAGGGCCUAUCAGCUUUUUGGGGAGGUAAUGGCUCACCAAGGCUACGACGGGUAGCCGGCCCGAGAGGGGGACCGGCCCAACUGGGAAUGGGACACGGCCCAGACUCCUACGGGAGGCCACAGUGGGGAAUAUUGCACCAUGGGCGAAAGCCUGAUGCAGCGAAGCCGGGGGAGGGAUGACGGCCUUCGGGUUGGAAACCUCUUUCAGCAGGGAAGAAGCCACAAGUGACGGUACCUGCAGAAGAAGCGCCGGCUAACUACGUG